AGUUACCAGCACGUUAUGGUGGGCACUCUAAGGAGGACUGACCGGGUGGACAAACCGGAGGAAGGUGGGGGAUGACGUCAAGUCAUCAUGGCCCUUACGGCCUGGGCUACACACGUGCUACAAUGGUUGGUACAAAGGGUUGCCAAGCCGCGAGGUGGAGCUAAUCCCAUAAAACCGAUCGUAGUCCGGAUCGCAGUCUGCAACUCGACUGCGUGAAGUCGGAAUCGCUAGUAAUCGUGAAUCAGAAUGUCACGGUGAAUACGUUCCCGGGCCUU
This 275-nucleotide ribosomal RNA is filed under the name uncultured Pseudomonas sp. RNAcentral's name for it is "partial 16S ribosomal RNA". It matches the Rfam family "Bacterial small subunit ribosomal RNA", at positions 1113 to 1382 of the family's 1533-position model. Lineage: Bacteria; Pseudomonadati; Pseudomonadota; Gammaproteobacteria; Pseudomonadales; Pseudomonadaceae. The record is from RNAcentral.